GGGUAGGUACUCAAGUGGACAACGAGAUCAGACUGUAAAUCUGCCGGCUUCGCCUUCGGAGGUUCGAAUCCUCCCCUGCCCA
RNAcentral lists this transfer RNA (82 nucleotides) under Leptospiraceae bacterium. Its description in RNAcentral is "tRNA-Tyr". It matches the Rfam family "tRNA". Rfam says of the family: Transfer RNA (tRNA) molecules are approximately 80 nucleotides in length. Their secondary structure includes four short double-helical elements and three loops (D, anti-codon, and T loops). The record is from RNAcentral. Lineage: Bacteria; Pseudomonadati; Spirochaetota; Leptospiria; Leptospirales; Leptospiraceae.